Molecule: ribosomal RNA, 460 nt
Filed under: uncultured bacterium
Lineage: Bacteria
Description: partial 16S ribosomal RNA
Rfam family: Bacterial small subunit ribosomal RNA
Source: RNAcentral
CCUACGGGGAGCAGCAGUGAGGAAUAUUGGUCAAUGGACGAGAGUCUGAACCAGCCAAGUAGCGUGAAGGAUGACUGCCCUAUGGGUUGUAAACUUCUUUUAUAUGGGAAUAAAACGUUCCACGUGUGGGAUUUUGUAUGUACAAUUAGAUUCAGGAACGCCUAACUACGUGCCAGCAGCCGCGGUAAUACGGAGGAUCCGAGCGUUAUCCGGAUUUAUUGGGUUUAAAGGGAGCGUAGGUGGAUUGGUAAGUCAGUUGUGAAAGUUUGCGGCUCAACCGUAAGAGUGCAGUGGAAACUGGCAGUCUUGAGUACAGGAGAGGUAGGCGGAAUUCGUAGUGUAGCGGUGAAAUGCGUAGAUAUCACGAAGAACUCCGAUGGCGAAGGCAGCUUACUGGACAGCAACUGACGCUGAGGCUCGAAAGCGUGGGUAGCAAACAGGAUUAGAUACCCGGGUAGUC